RNAcentral lists this ribosomal RNA (299 nucleotides) under Astrothelium megaspermum. RNAcentral's name for it is "partial 12S small subunit ribosomal RNA". It matches the Rfam family "Bacterial small subunit ribosomal RNA", at positions 399 to 722 of the family's 1533-position model. The record is from RNAcentral. Lineage: Eukaryota; Fungi; Ascomycota; Dothideomycetes; Trypetheliales; Trypetheliaceae.
AUGCUACUUACUUUAAAGUAGAGUAAGUAUUCAAGAAAUUUGAAUAUAGUUCUAGGUAAAAAUUUGAUAAUGACAAAGUUUUAUCUAUUUGUCUUGACCAAAUCUUGUGCCAGCAGUCGCGGCAACACAAGGAAGACAAGUGUUAUUCAUCUUAAAUAGGUUUAAGGGGUACCUAGACGGUAAAUUAGGCCAUAGUAGGAACGUUUUUACUAGAGUUAUACAUGUAUGGGGAUUGUGUCAGUAUUAUCAGAGUAGAGAUGAAAUUUUUUGAUACUGUUAAGACUGGUAAAGGCGAAAGC